This 429-nucleotide ribosomal RNA is filed under the name Gemmatimonadota bacterium. RNAcentral describes it as "Gemmatimonadetes bacterium partial 16S ribosomal RNA". It matches the Rfam family "Bacterial small subunit ribosomal RNA", at positions 355 to 776 of the family's 1533-position model. The record is from RNAcentral. Lineage: Bacteria; Pseudomonadati; Gemmatimonadota.
UAGGGAAUCUUCGGCAAUGGACGAAAGCCUGACCGAGCAACGCCGCGUGAGUGAAGAAGGUUUUCGGAUCGUAAAACUCUGUUGUUAGAGAAGAACAAGGACGUUAGUAACUGAACGUCCCCUGACGGUAUCUAACCAGAAAGCCACGGCUAACUACGUGCCAGCAGCCGCGGUAAUACGUAGGUGGCAAGCGUUGUCCGGAUUUAUUGGGCGUAAAGCGAGCGCAGGCGGUUUCUUAAGUCUGGUGUGAAAGCCCCCGGCUCAACCGGGGAGGGUCAUUGGAAACUGGGAGACUUGAGUGCAGAAGAGGAGAGUGGAAUUCCAUGUGUAGCGGUGAAAUGCGUAGAUAUAUGGAGGAACACCAGUGGCGAAGGCGGCUCUCUGGUCUGUAACUGACGCUGAGGCGCGAAAGCGUGGGGAGCAAACAGG